This is a non-coding RNA of Coprococcus eutactus CAG:665, 88 nucleotides long. The record is from Rfam. NCBI's taxonomy places the organism in Bacteria, Bacillati, Bacillota, Clostridia, Lachnospirales, Lachnospiraceae.
GAUAGGAGGAGCCGCUAUGAACGCAGUUCAUAAUCGGAAUCGGCUCCGACGACCUGCCCCGCUGCGGAGCAGAGGGGCGAUACAUAUU